UCAGACGGCCGGGCGGUCGCGGUCCUCGCCCGAAAGGGCUGGGAUCGAGGAAAGUCCGGGCUCCACGGCGAAUAGGCGGCGGGUAACGCCCGCCGGGGGCGACCCCAGGGAAAGCGCCACAGAAAGCAAACCGCCACAAGGGCUUAGGUCCUUGUGGUAAGGGUGAAAGGGUGGGGUAAGAGCCCACCGCGGACCCGGCGACGGGGACGGCAUGGCAAGCCCCGCCUGGAGCAAGACCGAAUAGGGACGUCGCGCCGAGGCUCGCCUCGGCAGGGCUUCGCCGGCCCGAGGCGUCCGGGUUGGUCGCGAGAACCGUCCAGCAAUGGCCGGUCCAGAGGAAUGACCGCCGCGCCCUUUUCGGGGCGGCACAGAACCCGGCUUACAGGCCGUCUGAUCCG
Molecule: RNase P RNA, 398 nt
Filed under: Poindextera montana
Lineage: Bacteria; Pseudomonadati; Pseudomonadota; Alphaproteobacteria; Caulobacterales; Caulobacteraceae
Description: Caulobacter sp. S6 Bacterial RNase P class A
Rfam family: Bacterial RNase P class A
About the family: Ribonuclease P (RNase P) is a ubiquitous endoribonuclease, found in archaea, bacteria and eukarya as well as chloroplasts and mitochondria. Its best characterised activity is the generation of mature 5'-ends of tRNAs by cleaving the 5'-leader elements of precursor-tRNAs.
Source: Rfam by way of RNAcentral